This 321-nucleotide ribosomal RNA is filed under the name uncultured eukaryote. RNAcentral's name for it is "partial 18S ribosomal RNA". It matches the Rfam family "Eukaryotic small subunit ribosomal RNA", at positions 1470 to 1796 of the family's 1831-position model. The record is from RNAcentral.
CCCUUAGAUGUUCUGGGCCGCACGCGCGCUACACUGAUGAACGCAACGAGACCACCUGUACCGAAAGGCAUGGGUAAACUUGUGAAAGUUCAUCGUGAUGGGGAUAGAUUAUUGCAAUUAUUAAUCUUCAACGAGGAAUUCCUAGUAAGCGCGAGUCAUCAGCUCGCGUUGAUUACGUCCCUGCCCUUUGUACACACCGCCCGUCGCUCCUACCGAUUGAAUGGUCCGGUGAAAUCUUCGGAUUGCUGGAUAGGACUUCAUUGACCUAUCUGCGAGAAGUUGUUUGAACCUUAUCAUUUAGAGGAAGGAGAANUCGUANCA